This 488-nucleotide ribosomal RNA is filed under the name uncultured bacterium. Its description in RNAcentral is "partial 16S ribosomal RNA". It matches the Rfam family "Bacterial small subunit ribosomal RNA", at positions 30 to 523 of the family's 1533-position model. The record is from RNAcentral.
AUUGAACGCUGGCGGCAGGCCUAACACAUGCAAGUCGAGCGGGGUUUUCGGACCUAGCGGCGGACGGGUGAGUAAUGCGUAGGAAGCUACCCGAUAGAGGGGGAUACCAGUUGGAAACGACUGUUAAUACCGCAUAAUGUCUACGGACCAAAGUGUGGGACCUUCGGGCCACAUGCUAUCGGAUGCGCCUACGUGGGAUUAGCUAGUUGGUGAGAUAAUGGCUCACCAAGGCGACGAUCCCUAGCUGGUUUGAGAGGAUGAUCAGCCACACUGGAACUGAGACACGGUCCAGACUCCUACGGGAGGCAGCAGUGGGGAAUAUUGGACAAUGGGCGCAAGCCUGAUCCAGCCAUGCCGCGUGUGUGAAGAAGGCCUUCGGGUUGUAAAGCACUUUCAGUAGGGAGGAAGCGUUGUGUGUUAAUAGUACACAGCGUUGACGUUACCUACAGAAGAAGCACCGGCUAGCUCUGUGCCAGCAGCCGCCGUAA